GGAAGUGCCAAGGGGAGCCUCGACAAGAGGCUGAGAAACCGCUCGCGCAAGCAGCGCGGUGACCCUUCGAACCUGAUCCGGAUCAUGCCGGCGAAGGGAUGGGAAUAAUGAUGUGC
This 116-nucleotide non-coding RNA is filed under the name Salipiger mucosus. RNAcentral's name for it is "TPP sequence". It matches the Rfam family "TPP riboswitch aptamer (THI element)". From Rfam's summary of the family: Vitamin B(1) in its active form thiamin pyrophosphate (TPP) is an essential coenzyme that is synthesised by coupling of pyrimidine and thiazole moieties in bacteria. The previously detected thiamin-regulatory element, thi box was extended, resulting in a new, highly conserved RNA secondary structure, the THI element, which is widely distributed in eubacteria and also occurs in some archaea. Lineage: Bacteria; Pseudomonadati; Pseudomonadota; Alphaproteobacteria; Rhodobacterales; Roseobacteraceae. The record is from RNAcentral. RNAcentral also lists the same sequence under 1 other name.